AAAGUAUUUCAAAUUAAGGAACUUAAUUAGAAAUGGCUAGCAAAAUAACUUUGUGUGCUCUACUCUUUUGCUUUCUUCUCAUGUUUGCUUCUGAGAUGAAGAUAACAGAAGCAAAGUAUUGUGGGAAGCCUAGCAAAGGCUGGAAUGGCAAGUGCUUUCCCAAGAAGUGUAACCAUUGGUGCAAGAAGGAAGAUGCAGCUUAUGGGAAUUGCUACAACAAAUAUUGCUACUGUUAUUAUAAAUGUUGAAAAUUAAAUGGAUAACAAUAUAUAGCCAUAGGCCUUUUCUUAUGGCACAUGAAGUUUAUCUUCUACAAUAUAUAGAUAAAUAAAUACUGUUAUUACAUAUGGUUAUUGCAGCAAUGACCAUAUUAUCCUUUAUGGUCGUAAUUGUGUUUGUAACUUGAUGUUUUAUAUGAAAUAUGUAGUAUUACUGUAUA
Nicotiana attenuata is the source of this 439-nucleotide long non-coding RNA. RefSeq lists it as uncharacterized. NCBI's taxonomy places the organism in Eukaryota, Viridiplantae, Streptophyta, Magnoliopsida, Solanales, Solanaceae. The transcript has 2 exons. The record is from RefSeq and is a predicted model, not a curated record.